AUCCAUUUGUUGUUCAUGAGAGUGUGAUUGGGUGUUCACCAGCAUGUGUCAAAUGUGCCACCCUCAAAUCUUGUUUUGCACAUUACCCGUCUGACU
Molecule: small nucleolar RNA, 96 nt
Filed under: Nomascus leucogenys (northern white-cheeked gibbon)
Lineage: Eukaryota; Metazoa; Chordata; Mammalia; Primates; Hylobatidae
Description: Small nucleolar RNA U13
Rfam family: Small nucleolar RNA U13
Source: Rfam by way of RNAcentral